Molecule: ribosomal RNA, 284 nt
Filed under: Salmonella enterica subsp. enterica serovar Anatum
Lineage: Bacteria; Pseudomonadati; Pseudomonadota; Gammaproteobacteria; Enterobacterales; Enterobacteriaceae
Description: partial 16S ribosomal RNA
Rfam family: Bacterial small subunit ribosomal RNA
Source: RNAcentral
GUUGGUGAGGUAACGGCUCACCAAGGCGACGAUCCCUAGCUGGUCUGAGAGGAUGACCAGCCACACUGGAACUGAGACACGGUCCAGACUCCUACGGGAGGCAGCAGUGGGGAAUAUUGCACAAUGGGCGCAAGCCUGAUGCAGCCAUGCCGCGUGUAUGAAGAAGGCCUUCGGGUUGUAAAGUACUUUCAGCGGGGAGGAAGGUGUUGUGGUUAAUAACCGCAGCAAUUGACGUUACCCGCAGAAGAAGCACCGGCUAACUCCGUGCCAGCAGCCGCGGUAAU